GAGUGUAUAGCUCAGUGGUAGAGCCCAUGCUUAGUGUGCGCAGGGUCCUGGGUUCAAUCCCCCGUACAUCCA
Molecule: transfer RNA, 72 nt
Filed under: Camelus bactrianus (Bactrian camel)
Lineage: Eukaryota; Metazoa; Chordata; Mammalia; Artiodactyla; Camelidae
Also listed under: 2 other names
Rfam family: tRNA
About the family: Transfer RNA (tRNA) molecules are approximately 80 nucleotides in length. Their secondary structure includes four short double-helical elements and three loops (D, anti-codon, and T loops).
Source: Rfam by way of RNAcentral